GUGGCUCAGUGGUAGAGUGCUUGCUUUGCAUGCAUGAGGUCCUGGGUUCAAUUCCUCAGC
This is a non-coding RNA of Dipodomys ordii (Ord's kangaroo rat), 60 nucleotides long. NCBI's taxonomy places the organism in Eukaryota, Metazoa, Chordata, Mammalia, Rodentia, Heteromyidae. The record is from Rfam.